RNAcentral lists this ribosomal RNA (496 nucleotides) under uncultured bacterium. RNAcentral describes it as "partial 16S ribosomal RNA". It matches the Rfam family "Bacterial small subunit ribosomal RNA", at positions 28 to 506 of the family's 1533-position model. The record is from RNAcentral.
GAUGAACGCUGGCGGCGUACCUAAUACAUGCAAGUCGAGCGAACGGACGAGAAGCUUGCUUCUCUGAUGUUAGCGGCGGACGGGUGAGUAACACGUGGAUAACCUACCUAUAAGACUGGGAUAACUUCGGGAAACCGGAGCUAAUACCGGAUAAUAUUUUGAACCGCAUGGUUCAAAAGUGAAAGACGGUCUUGCUGUCACUUAUAGAUGGAUCCGCGCUGCAUUAGCUAGUUGGUAAGGUAACGGCUUACCAAGGCAACGAUGCAUAGCCGACCUGAGAGGGUGAUCGGCCACACUGGAACUGAGACACGGUCCAGACUCCUACGGGAGGCAGCAGUAGGGAAUCUUCCGCAAUGGGCGAAAGCCUGACGGAGCAACGCCGCGUGAGUGAUGAAGGUCUUCGGAUCGUAAAACUCUGUUAUUAGGGAAGAACAUAUGUGUAAGUAACUGUGCACAUCUGGACGGUACCUAAGCAGAAAGCCACGGCUAACUACGU